Molecule: non-coding RNA, 859 nt
Organism: Vicugna pacos (alpaca)
Lineage: Eukaryota; Metazoa; Chordata; Mammalia; Artiodactyla; Camelidae
Source: RefSeq, a predicted model, not a curated record
UCACCCAGCAGACACUCACAAAACAGCUACCAUGUGGGGGGUCGGGACGGGCUCGGGGUGGCUGACUUGGGGGAAGCCUUGGCGCAUGUCGUGGAAGGAAGCUCGGAGCUGGGAGUCAUCGCAGAUGUUCAUUGAAUUUCCACUGGCGCUGUUCCGGGUGCUGGAGAUAAAUGAAGAAAACAACAAAGAUCACUGCUCCGGAGGAGCUACAUUCUAGUACAGACGGACAACAGCAGGAAAAAACCCACAUAGAAUAAAACAGAAACAUAAAAUACACCACAUGUCAGUUGAGGACAAGUUGUGGAGAGUGAGCUCGACUUAGGGAUGUGCUUCUGUGAACAGGGCACGGGAGGGGAAGAACUGUGGCGCCAGGUGGAGAGACCUGAUGCCCACUACCUUGGCCGUGUGGUCAAGGUCAGCUUCACAGUGAUGUGUCGUGUUGACACCCGUCUGCUGUGGGGUGAUGAUAAGGAAGCAUCACCUGUGUGGGACCUGCCCCCAAACACGUCACUCUAAUCAUGAGAAAGCACCAUACAGACCCUGACUGAGGGCCAUUUGACAAAAUACCUGACCUGCAGUGCUCUUCAAAAGUGUCAAGGUCACGAAAAGCACACAAAGCCUACUGCUAUGGAUUGAAGCGCUGCACCCCAGAGUGGACCACCUGUCACCUUUCUCCAAGGAAUGAAGUGGGAGUGAGGUGACACCAAGGUGGCAACAGCUACAGACACAAAAGUGUUUUGGCCACUUGGGAGAAUCCAGUAAGAGAGAUCACUUGCCAUUCCUGAUGGUGAUUUUCCAUGAAGACAUGCAGAGUUCAGAUAAACAAACGCCCCUACACACACCCACACUGUUACUCACA